RNAcentral lists this ribosomal RNA (531 nucleotides) under uncultured bacterium. RNAcentral's name for it is "partial 16S ribosomal RNA". It matches the Rfam family "Bacterial small subunit ribosomal RNA", at positions 355 to 874 of the family's 1533-position model. The record is from RNAcentral.
UGGGGAAUAUUGCACAAUGGGCGCAAGCCUGAUGCAGCCAUGCCGCGUGUGUGAAGAAGGCCUUCGGGUUGUAAAGCACUUUCAGCGAGGAGGAAGGUGGUGAACUUAAUACGUUCAUCAAUUGACGUUACUCGCAGAAGAAGCACCGGCUAACUCCGUGCCAGCAGCCGCGGUAAUACGGAGGGUGCAAGCGUUAAUCGGAAUUACUGGGCGUAAAGCGCACGCAGGCGGUUUGUUAAGUCAGAUGUGAAAUCCCCGGGCUCAACCUGGGAACUGCAUUUGAAACUGGCAAGCUAGAGUCUCGUAGAGGGGGGUAGAAUUCCAGGUGUAGCGGUGAAAUGCGUAGAGAUCUGGAGGAAUACCGGUGGCGAAGGCGGCCCCCCUGGACGAAGACUGACGCUCAGGUGCGAAAGCGUGGGGAGCAAAACAGGAUUAGAUACCCUGGUAGUCCACGCUGUAAACGAUGUCGAUUUUGGAGGUUGUGCCCCUUGAGGCGUGGCUUCCGGAGCUAACGCGUUAAAUCGACCGCCU